Molecule: small nucleolar RNA, 144 nt
Organism: Ornithorhynchus anatinus (platypus)
Lineage: Eukaryota; Metazoa; Chordata; Mammalia; Monotremata; Ornithorhynchidae
Product: small nucleolar RNA SNORD94
Exons: 1
Source: RefSeq, a predicted model, not a curated record
GCGGCGAUGAUGAUUGGCGCAGGGGUACGGACCUCAGCUGGAUCAUGGGAGCUGAAUGUGAGCCGGGCCUUCCCUGUGGGGCGGACGUGUGGUCUGCCGCCGGGGAGCACGUUCACAUGAGAAUUUCGCCAGACACUGAGCCGC